CGCCCUUGAGUUUGAUCAUGGCUCAGGAUGAACGCUGGCGGCGUGCUUAACACAUGCAAGUCGAACGGUGAAAGAGAGCUUGCUCUCUGGAUCAGUGGCGAACGGGUGAGUAACACGUGAGCAAUCUGCCCCUGACUCUGGGAUAACAGCUGGAAACAGCUGCUAAUACCGGAUACGAGUUGCGAAGGCAUCUUCAGCAGCUGGAAAGAAUUUCGGUCAGGGAUGAGCUCGCGGCCUAUCAGCUUGUUGGUGAGGUAAUGGCUCACCAAGGCGUCGACGGGUAGCCGGCCUGAGAGGGUGACCGGCCACACUGGGACUGAGACACGGCCCAGACUCCUACGGGAGGCAGCAGUGGGGAAUAUUGCACAAUGGGCGAAAGCCUGAUGCAGCAACGCCGCGUUUUUUGACGACGGCCUUCGGGUUGUAAACCUCUUUUAGCAAGGAAGAAGCGAAAGUGACGGUACUUGCAGAAAAAGCGCCGGCUAACUACGUGCCAGCAGCCGCGGUAA
This 509-nucleotide ribosomal RNA is filed under the name uncultured Microbacteriaceae bacterium. RNAcentral describes it as "bacterial SSU rRNA". It matches the Rfam family "Bacterial small subunit ribosomal RNA", at positions 1 to 523 of the family's 1533-position model. The record is from RNAcentral. Lineage: Bacteria; Bacillati; Actinomycetota; Actinomycetes; Micrococcales; Microbacteriaceae.